GAGGCAUUAGCUCAGUUGGUAGAGCAUCUCCCUUUUAAGGAGAGGGUCAAUGGUUCGAGCCCAUUAUGCCUCA
This 73-nucleotide transfer RNA is filed under the name Chlamydiota bacterium. Its description in RNAcentral is "Chlamydiae bacterium (marine sediment metagenome) tRNA-Lys". It matches the Rfam family "tRNA". Rfam says of the family: Transfer RNA (tRNA) molecules are approximately 80 nucleotides in length. Their secondary structure includes four short double-helical elements and three loops (D, anti-codon, and T loops). RNAcentral also lists the same sequence under 2 other names. Lineage: Bacteria; Pseudomonadati; Chlamydiota. The record is from RNAcentral.